This is a non-coding RNA of Ictidomys tridecemlineatus (thirteen-lined ground squirrel), 2473 nucleotides long. The record is from RefSeq and is a predicted model, not a curated record. NCBI's taxonomy places the organism in Eukaryota, Metazoa, Chordata, Mammalia, Rodentia, Sciuridae.
GGACAGCAGGGGACAGCAGAGGGGAAGCCACAACCACUCUGUGCCACUGAGGGACACUGAGGAUCCAGUUCAUUAUAUCACACGUUCCCCUCAGUGGCCACCAGAUCCAGCAUGAUGCAGACAGGAGAAAGAGAGAGACCUCCUCGGCCAGCCACCCCCGGGAACGGGAAGCGGAGCGGAUUCACUUCCUGCUCUGUGCCCAACACAGGCACCAGCACCUGCGGCCACCGCCCUUGCUCACCGCAGCCCUGAAGCAGAGAUGAUCCUGACCAUUCUGCAGAUGAGAAAAUAGCUCAGAAGAAUCAUGUGACUCGCCCACAGUCGCACCGCCAGGAAGAGAUGGAGCUCAAAAUCAGGUCAGCGCUGGGGCAGCGGGGAUUUUAGCCAGAUGCCCAGGAAAUCCCCCAAACAGGUGGAGGAGAGAGCUUGAUCCCAGCCCUUCCCAGGAGGCUGCUGGGCAAAAGGACUGGGCAAGUGGGCUGAGGGCAGGGGACUGGACCUAUUGACCUCCAGAAUCUACCCAGCUGUGCUGUUUGGGAACUGGUGGGCAAGUUCCAUCAGCCUCCAGGAGGGUGGGCUGGGGAAGAGGUGGGGCAGCCUGGGAAUGCCCAGAGAUGCUCUGACCAUCGGGGUCCCCCAGGACACCAGGGGUGUGGUCAGGCAGCUCUGACUUUCUGGGGCCACCAACAGAGACCUGAGUGCCCAGGUCCCAGUAGAAAGGGGGCUGGAAGGGAGGCAAGAGGGAGGGGAGGCUCUCUCUUCCAGCAGCCAACUAGCCUGUGGGGAGCCGGGUCCUGUGGUUUUGACAGCAGCGACACGAGCUCGUCCAGAAUCUCUGUCUUGCGCGAGGCGCGAGAGAAGAGCAGGCAACGGCCGAGGAGGGAGGACGGCAACUUGGCCAGAAAAGUUUCUGCCGACAUCAGCAGUCCAGUGGGCCCUGAAGAGUGGCCAAGGGCACGGGGAGGCUGGGUCCCUGCUGGACACAGGAGGCUGCUGGAACUGAGCCGGGCAGGGGCAGAGGGAAGACCGAGGGAUGGAAGUCUGUAAACAAAGGUGCUGGGGUGAAGGGUUUUCCCAAUCUGUGCUGACAUAACUAGACACUGGGACCGGGACCGGUGUCCUCAGAAGAGGUAAAUUUGCUCAGAGACACGCACGGGUGAGAGAAGCCGCGUGAAGAUGGAUGCAGAGGCUGGAGUGAUAGCCACAGAUUGCCAGCAACCACCAGAAGCUGGAAGAGGAAAGAACCUCCCCUGGAGCCUUCAGAGAGAGCAUGGCCAGGCCGCCAUCUUGAAUCUAGACUUCUAGCCUCCAAAAGUGGUUGGCCCCAGGACUCACAGGAUGUGGUUAGACCCAGGCAGCCCUUGCCUCUGGAGUGUGUUCUGCCACUAGCUCUAGGAAGAGGGCCCAGCCCACAGGUGGAGAAGCUGGAACUCGAGCCCAGGAGGCACGCGGCUCCAGGAUCCAGCCUCUUCCCCACCGCGUCACUUCCCAGCAGGCCGCACUAGGCUUUGGCAGCACCUGUUGUUUGUGAACCUCCAUGAACCCUCCCUUAUUCCAUCUGAGGUGUGGGCACUUUGCCAUGAUUUCUUCGGGGCGGGGCAGGCUGGCCAGCUCCCCGCUCUCUGGGCUCCUUUCAGACCAGGUCCAAGUCCUUCUCACCCAGAACAUUCCUGCCCCUUUUGUGCCCACCCUGUGAGCAGGGCCACCCCCAUCUGCCUUGUCACUUUCUGGCCACCUGCCCUCAUCUAUAGAAAGCCGCCAUCUGACUCUCUGCACCUCAACCCUUGCCGUCCUCUUGUGACUUCACGGCGCCAGAGGUGACCAGGGCAGGGCCUCUCCAUUCCUCCGUGACCUUGGGCUUCCAUUCCCUCCAGGCUCUUUUUGAAGGCCCCCCCGUGGGCCCAGUACCCCACAGCCCUUGGCCAAACCCCAGCUCGGCUCUGCAGCUCCUCUGCGUACACUCCUUCCCCACCCUGGACCUUCCUCUCUCACUGGCCCUCGCUGCCUCCUCCCCACCCACCUUUGCCCACGGUGGGGUCCACAACCAUCAGCAUCACGAAGCCACAGAUGCCCAGCCCCUCCCUUGGCAGCACCUUCAUGAUGCCCCAGCACCAACCCAACCAGCCCCCUGCAGCAGCCACAGCGGGGAAGCUAAAGGCUGUGCCCUCUGUGAGCCCCAAGUCUCCAGCAGCCAGUGGCCCUGGCAGCGGCAGCCCCAGUAGCCCACGUGCCUUCCCCAACAUGGCGUCAUGGCCCGUUCGCGCCCGCUGGCCUCCCAGGCUCUGCCGGCCUGUCACCCUCCACCGAGGAAACAGGAGCCCUUCCAGCAGCCCCUCUUCCCGCCUGUGGAAGCACGUGGCCCAUCAAAGGCUAUGGCUUCCCUGGGCUCGGAAACGCCCUUCUGGGCCCAAGGAAUGUGGCCCCAUAGGGUCAUCUUUGUCCUCGCCCUGCUCGCCGUCUCCAUGGACCCCGC